This 491-nucleotide ribosomal RNA is filed under the name uncultured Pseudomonadota bacterium. RNAcentral describes it as "bacterial SSU rRNA". It matches the Rfam family "Bacterial small subunit ribosomal RNA", at positions 355 to 836 of the family's 1533-position model. The record is from RNAcentral. Lineage: Bacteria; Pseudomonadati; Pseudomonadota.
UGGGGAAUUUUGGACAAUGGGGGCAACCCUGAUCCAGCCAUGCCGCGUGUGUGAAGAAGGCCUUCGGGUUGUAAAGCACUUUCGGCCGGAACGAAAUCGCGUGGGCUAACACCCCGCGUGGAUGACGGUACCGGAAGAAGAAGCACCGGCUAACUACGUGCCAGCAGCCGCGGUAAUACGUAGGGUGCGAGCGUUAAUCGGAAUUACUGGGCGUAAAGUGUGCGCAGGUGGCCGCGCAAGUCGAGUGUGAAAGCCCCGGGCUUAACUUGGGAAUUGCGCUCGAAACUACGUGGCUAGAGUGUGGCAGAGGGAGGUGGAAUUCCACGUGUAGCGGUGAAAUGCGUAGAGAUGUGGAGGAACACCAAUGGGCGAAGGCAGCCUCCUGGGCCAACACUGACACUCAUGCACGAAAGCGUGGGGAGCAAACAGGAUUAGAUACCCAGGUAGUCCACGCCCUAAACGACUGAUGACUAGUUGUUGGGGGAGUUAAA